RNAcentral lists this ribosomal RNA (207 nucleotides) under uncultured bacterium. Its description in RNAcentral is "partial 16S ribosomal RNA". It matches the Rfam family "Bacterial small subunit ribosomal RNA", at positions 1287 to 1500 of the family's 1533-position model. The record is from RNAcentral.
CUCAGUUCGGAUUGGAGUCUGNAACCCGACUCCAUGAAGCUGGAUUCGCUAGUAAUCGCGCAUCAGCCACGGCGCGGUGAAUACGUUCCCGGGCCUUGUACACACCGCCCGUCAAGCCAUGGAAGCCGGGAGUGCCUGAAGUGCGUGAGCGCAAGCAGCGCCCUAAGGUAAAACCGGUGACGUGGGGCUAAGUCGUAACAAGGUAAC